Long non-coding RNA from Gasterosteus aculeatus aculeatus (three-spined stickleback), 621 nucleotides. The record is from Ensembl. Lineage: Eukaryota; Metazoa; Chordata; Actinopteri; Perciformes; Gasterosteidae.
CGCCUUCAGAACCUCGAUUCGCGGACAAGGACAAACUCCCCUUUGUCGCCAUGACGACACGAUACACAACUAAGCAUCUGCCACAUCUUAAAUUGACGACGUGCCGCGUUGCCCACAGUCUAAAAGAUUUACUGCCAGAAGCAAGCUGCUGCCCGUUGACACCUGAUGGAUCGCUACAGGGGAACGCUCGGCCCUCUAACAUCGGUCUUUACCCGACGCUUUGGAGAACCAAGCAGCCGGAGGCUGUGGAGAGGAGCGAAGCAAACUACACCCAACUUCAGGGAAUAGGCAUUAUUCUAAGUGUCCUUUUUUGCAUUGUUUUCCAUUGCAUGAGCGGGAAAUGGCAGGGCACAAGCAGGUAGCCUGAAUGACUGAACAUAAAGAGCCUGCAGCCUGAUAUUACAUUAUAUUCAUACUUAAAAUGAUGAGAGGCUCAAAGCAGACCAGUGCACACCUGCCUUUUUUAUUAUGUGAUUUCAACCAAAAUGGAACAAGCCUCCAGAGCUGCUAAUUCCGAAAGCCUGACAGGUAGUGAUGCUCCAGUCAGGGCUCCUUGAUAUCGCACCGUGUUAUACGAGGCAAUCCACACAAAAAUAUGCUUUGAUUAAACCAGCGGACCGC